RNAcentral lists this ribosomal RNA (253 nucleotides) under uncultured bacterium. RNAcentral describes it as "partial 16S ribosomal RNA". It matches the Rfam family "Bacterial small subunit ribosomal RNA", at positions 524 to 776 of the family's 1533-position model. The record is from RNAcentral.
UACGUGGGGUGCAAGCGUUAAUCGGAAUUACUGGGCGUAAAGCGUGCGCAGGCGGUUUUGUAAGUCUGAUGUGAAAUCCCCGGGCUCAACCUGGGAAUUGCAUUGGAGACUGCAAGGCUAGAAUCUGGCAGAGGGGGGUAGAAUUCCACGUGUAGCAGUGAAAUGCGUAGAGAUGUGGAGGAACACCGAUGGCGAAGGCAGCCCCCUGGGUCAAGAUUGACGCUCAUGCACGAAAGCGUGGGGAGCAAACAGG